UACGUAGGGGGCAAGCGUUGUCCGGAAUCAUUGGGCGUAAAGAGCGUGUAGGCGGCCCGGUAAGUCCGCUGUGAAAGUCGAGGGCUCAACCCUCGAAUGCCGGCGGAUACUGUCGGGCUAGAGUCCGGAAGAGGCGAGUGGAAUUCCUGGUGUAGCGGUGAAAUGCGCAGAUAUCAGGAGGAACACCUACGGCGAAGGCAGCUCGCUGGGACGGUACUGACGCUGAGGAGCGAAAGCGUGGGGAGCGAACAGG
RNAcentral lists this ribosomal RNA (253 nucleotides) under uncultured bacterium. RNAcentral's name for it is "partial 16S ribosomal RNA". It matches the Rfam family "Bacterial small subunit ribosomal RNA", at positions 524 to 776 of the family's 1533-position model. The record is from RNAcentral.